Molecule: ribosomal RNA, 494 nt
Filed under: uncultured bacterium
Lineage: Bacteria
Description: partial 16S ribosomal RNA
Rfam family: Bacterial small subunit ribosomal RNA
Source: RNAcentral
GACGAACGCUGGCGGCGUGCCUAAUACAUGCAAGUAGAACGCUGAAGGAGGAGCUUGCUUCUCUGGAUGAGUUGCGAACGGGUGAGUAACGCGUAGGUAACCUGCCUGGUAGCGGGGGAUAACUAUUGGAAACGAUAGCUAAUACCGCAUAAUAGCAGUUGUUGCAUGACAACUGUUUGAAAGGUGCAAUUGCACCACUACCAGAUGGACCUGCGUUGUAUUAGCUAGUUGGUGGGGUAACGGCUCACCAAGGCGACGAUACAUAGCCGACCUGAGAGGGUGAUCGGCCACACUGGGACUGAGACACGGCCCAGACUCCUACGGGAGGCAGCAGUAGGGAAUCUUCGGCAAAGGACGGAAGUCUGACCGAGCAACGCCGCGUGAGUGAAGAAGGUUUUCGGAUCGUAAAGCUCUGUUGUAAGAGAAGAACGAGUGUGAGAGUGGAAAGUUCACACUGUGACGGUAUCUUACCAGAAAGGGACGGCUAACUACGU